Stegostoma tigrinum is the source of this 304-nucleotide RNA transcript. RefSeq lists it as uncharacterized. Lineage: Eukaryota; Metazoa; Chordata; Chondrichthyes; Orectolobiformes; Stegostomatidae. The transcript is spliced from 2 exons. The record is from RefSeq and is a predicted model, not a curated record.
GAUACUAUUGCUGGUUUAUGCCUGUUGUCGGGCUGCGUGAUGCGCUUGAUGAGUGAAGACAAUGAUGUGGAUCAAGUGGAUUUAUUGCUACAGCAACAUACUGCCUACGUUCUGAGAAAGGAAUUGCUUCCCAGUGUGAUAACGUGCAGCCAGGAAGCCGCCAGUACUUUGAAAUGUACCAGACACUCACAUCACGAGAGAAGGAAUGUAAUACCGGCGAAGGAAUAAAAUAGGAAAAAAAUGACAAGUGGUUGUCCGGCCCAAACCCUUCAACGCUCAAAUAAAUCCAUGUAUUGGAAAAAUC